RNAcentral lists this ribosomal RNA (279 nucleotides) under Desulfitobacterium enrichment culture. Its description in RNAcentral is "partial 16S ribosomal RNA". It matches the Rfam family "Bacterial small subunit ribosomal RNA", at positions 335 to 605 of the family's 1533-position model. The record is from RNAcentral. Lineage: Bacteria; Bacillati; Bacillota; Clostridia; Eubacteriales; Desulfitobacteriaceae.
ACUCCUACGGGAGGCAGCAGUGGGGAAUCUUCCGCAAUGGGCGAAAGUCUGACGGAGCAACGCCGCGUGUACGACGAAGGUCUUCGGAUUGUAAAGUACUGUCUUCAGGGACGAACGGUAGGUAUGAAAAUAUUGUAGAUACAUGACGGUACCUGAGGAGGAAGCCCCGGCUAACUACGUGCCAGCAGCCGCGGUAAUACGUAGGGGGCAAGCGUUGUCCGGAAUCAUUGGGCGUAAAGGGCGCGUAGGCGGAUACUUAAGUCUGGUGUGAAAACCUAG